CAGCAGCCACGGUAAAACGAAGGGGGCUAGCGUUGUUCGGAUUGACUGGGCGUAAAGGGCGCGUAGGCGGACUGAUAAGUCAGGGGUGAAAUCCCAAGGCUCAACCUUGGAACUGCCUUUGAUACUGUUUGUCUUGAGUUCGAGAGAGGUAAGUGGAACUGCGAGUGUAGAGGUGAAAUUCGUAGAUAUUCGCAAGAACACCAGUGGCGAAGGCGGCUCUCUGGCUUGUAACUGACGCUGAGGCUCGAAAGCGUGGGGAGCAAACAGGAUUAGAUACCCGUGUAGUCCCUGUCUCUUAUAC
This 301-nucleotide ribosomal RNA is filed under the name uncultured bacterium. Its description in RNAcentral is "partial 16S ribosomal RNA". It matches the Rfam family "Bacterial small subunit ribosomal RNA", at positions 509 to 807 of the family's 1533-position model. The record is from RNAcentral.